This 254-nucleotide ribosomal RNA is filed under the name uncultured bacterium. RNAcentral's name for it is "partial 16S ribosomal RNA". It matches the Rfam family "Bacterial small subunit ribosomal RNA", at positions 524 to 776 of the family's 1533-position model. The record is from RNAcentral.
CACGUAGGGGGCAAGCGUUGUCCGGAAUUAUUGGGCGUAAAGAGCUCGUAGGCGGUCUGUCGCGUCGGUCGUGAAAACUUGGGGCUUAACCCUGAGCUUGCGGUCGAUACGGGCAUGACUGGAGUUCGGCAGGGGAGACUGGAAUUCCUGGUGUAGCGGUGAAAUGCGCAGAUAUCAGGAGGAACACCGGUGGCGAAGGCGGGUCUCUGGGCCGAUACUGACGCUGAGGAGCGAAAGCGUGGGGAGCGAACAGG